CUACGGGUGGCAGCAGUGGGGAAUAUUGGACAAUGGGCGAAAGCCUGAUCCAGCCAUGCCGCGUGUGUGAAGAAGGCCUUCGGGUUGUAAAGCACUUUCAGUGGGGAAGAAAGCCUUGGGGCUAAUACCCUCGAGGAAGGACAUCACCCACAGAAGAAGCACCGGCUAACUCCGUGCCAGCAGCCGCGGUAAUACGGAGGGUGCGAGCGUUAAUCGGAAUUACUGGGCGUAAAGCGCGCGUAGGCGGUCUGAUAAGCCGGUUGUGAAAGCCCCGGGCUCAACCUGGGAACGGCAUCCGGAACUAUCAGGCUAGAGUGCAGGAGAGGAAGGUAGAAUUCCCGGUGUAGCGGUGAAAUGCGUAGAGAUCGGGAGGAAUACCAGUGGCGAAGGCGGCCUUCUGGACUGACACUGACGCUGAGGUGCGAAAGCGUGGGUAGCAAACAGGAUUAGAUACCCCUGUAGUC
This 464-nucleotide ribosomal RNA is filed under the name Vreelandella stevensii. RNAcentral's name for it is "partial 16S ribosomal RNA". It matches the Rfam family "Bacterial small subunit ribosomal RNA", at positions 339 to 795 of the family's 1533-position model. Lineage: Bacteria; Pseudomonadati; Pseudomonadota; Gammaproteobacteria; Oceanospirillales; Halomonadaceae. The record is from RNAcentral.